Molecule: ribosomal RNA, 765 nt
Filed under: uncultured rumen archaeon
Lineage: Archaea
Description: bacterial SSU rRNA
Rfam family: Archaeal small subunit ribosomal RNA
Source: RNAcentral
UGUCUUCACUAGUGAUUUCUGGUUGACCCCGGCGGAGGCUACUGCUAUUGGGAUUCGAUUAAGCCAUGCGAGUUGAAUGAAUUUAGAUUCAUGGCGUACGGCUCAGUAACACGUGGAUAACUUACCCUUAGGACUGGGAUAACUCUGGGAAACUGGGGAUAAUACCGGAUAUUAGGCUAUGGCUGGAAUGCUUUGCCUUUGAAAUGUUUCUUGUAUUCGCCUAAGGAUAGAUCUGCGGCUGAUUAGGUCGUUGGUGGGGUAAUGGCCCACCAAGCCUAUGAUCGGUACGGGUUGUGAGAGCAAGAGCCCGGAGAUGGAACCUGAGACAAGGUUCCAGACCCUACGGGGUGCAGCAGGCGCGAAACCUCCGCUAUGUACGAAAGUGCGACGGGGGGAUCCCAAGUGUUAUGCUUAAAGGUAUGACUUUUCAUUAGUGUAAAAAGCUUUUAGAAUAAGAGCUGGGNCAGACCGGUGCCAGCCGCCGCGGNUACACCGGCAGCUCGAGUGGUAGCUGUUUUUUAUGGGCCUAAGGCGUUCGUAGCCGGUUUUAUAGUCUUNGGNUGAAAGCUGUAGCUUACCUAUAGGAAUUGCUGGAGAUACUAUGGNACUUGAAGUCGGGAGAGGNUAGAGGUACUACCGGGGUAGGGGNUGAAUCCUAUUAUCCUGGGAAGAACCACUUGUGGCGAGGCUUCUAACUGGACGAUCUUGACGGUGGAUACCAAAGGCAAGGGGCCCGAACGAAUUAAAUACCCGGGAAGUCCUGGC